Molecule: non-coding RNA, 246 nt
Filed under: Anaerotruncus colihominis
Lineage: Bacteria; Bacillati; Bacillota; Clostridia; Eubacteriales; Oscillospiraceae
Description: T-box sequence
Rfam family: T-box leader
About the family: Uncharged tRNA acts as the effector for transcription antitermination of genes in the T-box leader family. T-boxes are found upstream of many aminoacyl-tRNA synthetase genes and some amino acid biosynthetic genes usually in Gram-positive bacteria.
Source: RNAcentral
UGAAAGACGCUGAAAAGAAGAGUAGGCUGUCGGAACCGCAGCAGAGAGCCUCGGUUGGUGAAAAGAGGCGCGGGAAACACAGCCGAACAUGGUCUUGGAGUCCCGCGGGCGAAAGCUUUUAGUCCGCGGCGGGUUCGCCCGUUAAAGCGACAGGCGGUCGGUAUCGAGCCGGACGCCGGUGAGGCUGCCGCUUAAAUGCGGCGGCGAAGCAGGGUGGUACCACGAAGCGGCGCUCUCGUCCCUGGA